Molecule: long non-coding RNA, 3019 nt
Organism: Manis pentadactyla (Chinese pangolin)
Lineage: Eukaryota; Metazoa; Chordata; Mammalia; Pholidota; Manidae
Exons: 2
Source: RefSeq, a predicted model, not a curated record
CUGAGGCUGGGCUGGGUGAUGGUGGAUGGUGGUCCCUGCAGGAUUUGCACCCUGCCUUUCCACCUUUUGGGGUCUGUGCUCUCACCCUGAGGCUGAGGGUCUCCCCUGUGUACCUCUAAGACCAGCUCUGCACAGGCUUAAUACACAGGCUGGUGUCCAGUAAAUGUGUGUUGAAGGUCUCCACGCAUCUCAUCGAAUAGCCUGGCAACAAGACAGGAGGUGGCCAUGAGGAAGAGUGGCCGCCCCAGAGCCUGAUGUGCAGGUGGCAGGAGGCCAAGUGCGGGCCCCUUCCCGCCCAUGCUGUGGGGAGAGCAGGCCUUAUUUGGAGGUCCCUGUCCUACUCUGUGCCCCAUAUCCCGGGCCCACCCCCCUGCAGUACCUGCCCAGCCCCGCCAGGCCUGCAGGCUAGGGUCCCAGGGCUGGGCCCCCUGCCGCUCUCCGCUCACUGUCAGGACCUCUGCUGUCUGCUCAGCCAGCCUUCUUGACCCCCGGCCCCACCACAGCUGGUGGAUGAGCUUCCUCUUCCUCCAGCCUGUCUGAGCCCACAAGCCACCGCGCGGUAUCGGCUCCGACUACUGUUUUCCCAGAGGUGGUUCGCCCAGAGCCAGAACUCAGAAUCCACAUGCAGAGGCUACUGAAGAAAAGGCUGAGUUGUUGGAGGCUCUUAGGCCUUAAAGGAAGCAACCCAGGCUGCUUCCCCUGCCCCCACGCAACGCUGCCGCCUACAUUUCCUUCUAGACACAGAGCUUCACAGCAGGAAGGCCUGCCCGCCAGAGCCUCAGGCCGGGCCAGGCGCUCCAUCUGCCUGCCUGCCCUGGGCCUGGAUGUCUGCCCGAGCAGAUGCUAUUUAACUUGCUGCAGGAGAAGUGUCUGUAAAUGUUAACUACUGACCUAAAAGCAGCCUGUCAGAAGCACCCAGCUGCUGGGUCCGUCCCCACUAUGGAGGCCACGACCCUAAUGACUGCACAACUUGCUUUCUCCAGGGGGGGUUCUUGCCGAUCCCCAUCACAAGAUGUUGCUGCCCUGAGAUCGCGGAGCUGCACUGAAGGAGAAGCAGAACCACAGAGGAAGAAGAGGAUCUCACGGCUGCACAGGGACUUCACUCUGCGUGGGAAAGACACACCCUUUGGACACCCCCACACACCAGACACUGGGAUUGCAGCGAGUGAGAAAAAACUAGACAGUGGCUGUGUCUCCCUGCUCUGUGGUGUGAGUUACAGGGCUCAGCAACGCCCUGUAACUGGGACAAACAGAAGACACGCUGGGCUCAUAAAUCUUUCUUCUUGGCCCAGUGUGAAUCAAGAGGCCAUUUUCCAGAAAUGAGCAUCCACAGACUUUUGAGGCCUUUCUCCCGAAAGACUGUGAUAUUCUCCUGCUGUCUGGAGUGAAUGCCAUCUAAAUCCAGCUUUCCCAUGAUGUAACUGGCAGGCAGCAUCACCCCCAGAGAUCUGGAGAUUUAGGAGGGGUCUGAUUCGAGCACAGAGGUGCUCCGGGAAGUGGAAUCAAGUGUCUGGGCCUGUGCGGUCACCACAGCAUUUCCCUGCCUGCUUCUGGGUAUACUUCUGGGAAAGACCAACAUGCUGUCCUAUCACCCGGGAGAUGUGGAUGACUGCUUGAAAAUCUGUAUUUGAAGGACCCCCCACCCCGACCCAACGUGCCUACAGAGUGACACCUCUGCGGUCCCCUGUACUUGGGGAGCACAUGGGCCACGCUUGCCCCCUUGUAUGGACAGAAGAGGUUUCCUGGCCUGGCUCAGUAGAGACAGGGAGAGGGGAGGGAAAGAGGCGGGGACAGGUCCAGCCCAACACUCAUAAAACCUCUUCAUCUGCAUGUUUAUGGGCCCAGGUCCCUGAAGUGAGUCUUUAAAGUCACACAGCAGGCUCCUGUGUGCUCAUGAGAUCCCUCCGAUCUGUGGAUCUGUGAUAUGCUGCCCUCAGCAACACUUGCUGCCCAGGCCACUCUGGUCCCCUCCCAUGUCACGGCCAUUGGGCGACAGGGAAGCAAGGGGCUGGAGAGUCCAGGGAUAGUCCUAGCGCUGAGUGAGGGUGGAGCUGGGGGUGCAGGGCCCUGGGCUGGGGGUGCUGCUGGGCACAGGUUCCCCAGCUUCUUGGGGAGAUUCCACAUUCUCUCAUUAUCUUCUGCCCAACUACCUGGUGGAGGGCAGGCAUCCCUGGUGACAUCCCAGGGUCCCCAAGCUAUGUCCCAGCUCUUCCUCAUUCCAGAGAAAGUGUGUGGAAUAGGGUUGCCAGAUAAGUCACAGAUAGCCCAGUUAAAUUUGAAUUUGUUGAAAAACAAGUCGUUUUUUUAGUACAAGUAUUUCCCAUAUAUUGCAUAGGAUAUACUUAUACUAAAAAAUUACUUGUUUAUCUGAAAUUCAAAUUUAACUGGCUGUCCUGUGAUUUUAUUUGUUGAAUUUGGUCACCUUAACUUGUAAGGAACCACAGUUACUGCUGCAGGUCACUGAAAGCCCUCCCUGUGUUCCAGGCACUGGGCUGAGCCUUUGCAUGUGUUAUUUCAUUUAAACCUUAUCAAUUCACUGCAUCCCAAACUUGGAUGAUUUACUUACUACUUUCAGGAUGUUUGCCGUAUCUUUUGCACACCGCUGGUACUAUUUUUUAUUUAAUUCUUUUCUUUAGAUCAAUUUCCUUUUUCUAAAAAAAAGAAUUUUUAAAUGAAAUUUUAUAUGCACUAUGAAUUGUCAUAAUAGUUGCACAAUUAAACACAAUAUGAUCAUGGUAUUGCCUGCUGGAUACUCUCGCCUGCUGGAAAAUUGGAGGCUGUGGUAUUCUGAGGUAUUUUGAUCACUGAUUGAGAGGUCCAGACUCCUGCUGUGGCUGAUACUGUUCUCUACCAUCGUCUCAUCUUCCUUGCUGGAAGAGUCCUCCUCCUCCGAGAAAGGCUAGAAAUGCUAUAUUGUACUCCCUUUCCCAGCCUCCCUUCAGUCAACAAGGGGUUAUGGCCCAGCUGUCACCAAUGUACAUCUGAAUUAAAACCUCUGGAAGCUUCUGGGAAAGAUUUA